This 300-nucleotide signal recognition particle RNA is filed under the name Cebus imitator (Panamanian white-faced capuchin). RNAcentral describes it as "Metazoan signal recognition particle RNA (ENSCCAG00000014986.1)". It matches the Rfam family "Metazoan signal recognition particle RNA". Rfam says of the family: The signal recognition particle (SRP) is a universally conserved ribonucleoprotein. It is involved in the co-translational targeting of proteins to membranes. The record is from RNAcentral. Lineage: Eukaryota; Metazoa; Chordata; Mammalia; Primates; Cebidae.
GCUGGGUGUGGUGUCGUGUGCCUGUAGUCCCAGCUACUCAGGAGGCUGAGGCUGAAGGAUCACUUGAGUCCAGGAGUUCUGGGCUGUAGUGUGCUAUGCCGAUCAGGUGUCCGCACUAAGUUCAGCAUCAAUAUGGUGACCUCCCAGGAGUAGGGGACCACCACGUUGCCUAAGGAGGGAUGAACUGGCCCAGUCAGAAACGGAGCAAGUCAAAACUCCUGUGCUGAUCAGUAGUGGGAUUGCACCCGGGAAUAGCCUCUGUACUCCAGCCUGGGCAACAUAGCGAGACCCUAUGUCUCU